RNAcentral lists this small nucleolar RNA (93 nucleotides) under Microcebus murinus (gray mouse lemur). RNAcentral describes it as "Small nucleolar RNA SNORD116 (ENSMICG00000025015.3)". It matches the Rfam family "Small nucleolar RNA SNORD116". Rfam says of the family: HBII-85 is a member of the C/D class of snoRNAs, which contain the C (UGAUGA) and D (CUGA) box motifs. HBII-85 is encoded in a tandemly repeated array with another C/D snoRNA, HBII-52, in the Prader-Willi syndrome (PWS) region of chromosome 15. Unlike most other snoRNAs, HBII-85 is expressed prevalently in the brain (but is absent in PWS patients) and lacks any significant complementarity with ribosomal RNA. Lineage: Eukaryota; Metazoa; Chordata; Mammalia; Primates; Cheirogaleidae. The record is from Rfam by way of RNAcentral.
UUGCUGAGGCAAUCCCCCAUAAAAACAUUCCUUGGAAAAUCUGAACAACAUGAGCAAAAACUCACUACCAUCGUUCAAGAAGAGAAAAAGAAA